CCAGACUCCUACGGGAGGCAGCAGUGGGGAAUAUUGGGCAAUGGGGGAAACCCUGACCCAGCGACGCCGCGUGAGGGAAGAAGGUGUUCGGAUUGUAAACCUCUGUCCUUGGUGACGAUAAUGACGGUAGCCAAGGAGGAAGCCACGGCUAACUACGUGCCAGCAGCCGCGGUAAUACGUAGGUGGCGAGCGUUGUCCGGAAUUACUGGGUGUAAAGGGAGCGUAGGCGGGAGAGCAAGUCGACUGUGAAAUCUAUGGGCUUAACUUGUAGACUGCAGUUGAAACUGGUUUUCUUGAGUGAAGUAGAGGUUGGCGGAAUUCCGAGUGUAGCGGUGAAAUGCGUAGAUAUUCGGAGGAACACCGGUGGCGAAGGCGGCCAACUGGGCUUUAACUGACGCUGAGGCUCGAAAGUGUGGGGAGCAAACAGGAUUAGAUACCCCGGUAUU
RNAcentral lists this ribosomal RNA (446 nucleotides) under uncultured bacterium. RNAcentral describes it as "partial 16S ribosomal RNA". It matches the Rfam family "Bacterial small subunit ribosomal RNA", at positions 331 to 794 of the family's 1533-position model. The record is from RNAcentral.